GACGAACGCUGGCGGCGUGCCUAAUACAUGCAAGUCGAGCGCAGGAAGUCAUCCGAACCCUUCGGGGGGACGUUGACGGAAUGAGCGGCGGACGGGUGAGUAACACGUAAAGAACCUGCCCUCAGGUCUGGGAUAACCACGAGAAAUCGGGGCUAAUACCGGAUGGGUCAUCGGACCGCAUGGUCCGAGGAUGAAAGGCGCUCCGGCGUCGCCUGGGGAUGGCUUUGCGGUGCAUUAGCUAGUUGGCGGGGUAAUGGCCCACCAAGGCGACGAUGCAUAGCCGACCUGAGAGGGUGAUCGGCCACACUGGGACUGAGACACGGCCCAGACUCCUACGGGAGGCAGCAGUAGGGAAUCUUCCACAAAGGACGAAAGUCUGAUGGAGCAACGCCGCGUGAACGAUGAAGGCCCUCGGGUCGUAAAGUUCUGUUGUAAGGGAAGAACAAGUGCCGCAGGCGAUGGCGGCACCUUGACGGUACCUUGCGAGAAAGCCACGGCUAACUACGUG
RNAcentral lists this ribosomal RNA (508 nucleotides) under uncultured bacterium. RNAcentral describes it as "partial 16S ribosomal RNA". It matches the Rfam family "Bacterial small subunit ribosomal RNA", at positions 28 to 507 of the family's 1533-position model. The record is from RNAcentral.